AUUGAACGCUGGCAGCAGGCCUAACACAUGCAAGUCGAGCGGAUGAAGGGAGCUUGCUCCUGGAUUCAGCGGCGGACGGGUGAGUAAUGCCUAGGAAUCUGCCUGGUAGUGGGGGAUAACGUCCGGAAACGGGCGCUAAUACCGCAUACGUCCUGAGGGAGAAAGUGGGGGUUCUUCGGACCUCACGCUAUCAGAUGAGCCUAGGUCGGAUUAGCUAGUUGGUGGGGUAAAGGCCUACCAAGGCGACGAUCCGUAACUGGUCUGAGAGGAUGAUCAGUCACACUGGAACUGAGACACGGUCCAGACUCCUACGGGAGGCAGCAGUGGGGAAUAUUGGACAAUGGGCGAAAGCCUGAUCCAGCCAUGCCGCGUGUGUGAAGAAGGUCUUCGGAUUGUAAAGCCCUUUAAGUUGGGAGGAAGGGCAGUAAGUUAAUACCUUGCUGUUUUGACGUUACCAACAGAAUAAGCACCGGCUAGCUUCGUG
This 484-nucleotide ribosomal RNA is filed under the name uncultured bacterium. RNAcentral describes it as "partial 16S ribosomal RNA". It matches the Rfam family "Bacterial small subunit ribosomal RNA", at positions 30 to 507 of the family's 1533-position model. The record is from RNAcentral.